UACGGAGGAUCCGAGCGUUAUCCGGAUUUAUUGGGUUUAAAGGGAGCGUAGGUGGAUUGUUAAGUCAGUUGUGAAAGUUUGCGGCUCAACCGUAAAAUUGCAGUUGAAACUGGCAGUCUUGAGUACAGUAGAGGUGGGCGGAAUUCGUGGUGUAGCGGUGGAAUGCGCAGAUAUCGGGAAGAACACCGGUGGCGAAGGCGGCCUUCUGGGCCAUCACUGACGCUGAGGCGCGAAAGCUAGGGGAGCAAACAGG
This 253-nucleotide ribosomal RNA is filed under the name uncultured Bacteroides sp. RNAcentral's name for it is "partial 16S ribosomal RNA". It matches the Rfam family "Bacterial small subunit ribosomal RNA", at positions 524 to 776 of the family's 1533-position model. The record is from RNAcentral. Lineage: Bacteria; Pseudomonadati; Bacteroidota; Bacteroidia; Bacteroidales; Bacteroidaceae.